CUACGGGUCGCACCAGUGGGGGAUAUUGGACAAUGGGGGAAACCCUGAUCCAGCAAUGCCGCGUGUGUGAAGAAGGCCUGCGGGUUGUAAAGCACUUUCGGUUGGGAGGACUGCUUCUAGCACUAAUAUUGUUGGAAGUUGACGUUACCUUCAGAAGAAGCACCGGCUAACUCCGUGCCAGCAGCAGCGGUAAUACGGAGGGUGCAAGCGUUAAUCGGAAUUACUGGACGUAAAGCGCGCGUAGGCGGCUAGAUCAGUCGGGUGUGAAAGCCCCGGGCUUAACCUGGGAACUGCAUCCGAUACUGUCUAGCUUGAGUACAGGAGAGGAGAGUGGAAUUCCACAUGUAGCGGUGAAAUGCGUAGAUAUGUGGAGGAACACCAAUGGCGAAGGCAGCUCUCUGGCCUGAUACUGACGCUGAGGUGCGAGAGCGUGGGGAGCAAACAGGAUUAGAUACCCUGGUAGUC
RNAcentral lists this ribosomal RNA (465 nucleotides) under uncultured bacterium. RNAcentral's name for it is "partial 16S ribosomal RNA". It matches the Rfam family "Bacterial small subunit ribosomal RNA", at positions 339 to 795 of the family's 1533-position model. The record is from RNAcentral.